AGGCCAUUUUUGCGUAUCAAUACCACGAGUUUUGGUUUUUAUUUGGCGUACUAUUUAUACGCAUUUUCAUGAGAAUGGGCUCACUUUAAGUCCCACUCCGUCCUUUAAUUUCUAAUGCACGCUCACUUUUUCCCAGGCCCUCUGACAAAGUACAAAUCUGCCUACACCGUGUAUUUAUUUAUUAUUAUUUUAUUAUUAUUACUAUUUUAUUAUUUUUAUUUUUUGGAAAGGAACUUAAAUCCUACCUUGAACACUGUUCUUACAUCCAGCAACUCUAAAGCCAAGUCUCACUGUGUCAUAAAAUUUUCCUGAAUUUUACUCACGCCUGGCAUUGGCUUUGUAUGUUCUUAUCUAUAACAUACAUACAUAUAGCCUAUACGUACAACAUAUACAUUCCAUAUAAAUAAAUAAACAAACAAUCUUAAUUUUUUGUCUCUAUGGUGCAUUGUUUUGAAGGUAUUUUGGGGGCAAAUCAACUGAGCGCCUGUGACAGCAGCAUUUGUAGUUGUAGAGGAUACUCACACAUGUGUAUCAGUCAAUUUGAAGUCACAGACAAAAGUUGCAAACUUGAAGAUUUUUUCUCUCUUCCACGAACACAACACAAUGAGCUCACCUUCUCGAAUCCUUCAAUGCAGGUGCACAAAUCCUAUUCUAUGAAUCACAAAUUAAGAAACGUUUUGCUAUACUAUUGCUGCAGUGAAUACGAUGCAAAACACAUUCACACACCUGCAUCAAAAAUCACAGGUAGCUACAUCAGGCAAUUCUGUAGCCUCAAUAAAUCAAACAACACACUUUAAUAGGCUACAUUGCUGUCCAUUAAGUUUUCGUUUGAGGCUGAUUUCGACGCGUAGUUACCUGUCCAAAAUAGUUUAUGUGAUACGGGAACUUACACUAUGUUUACAAUUUGUCGCUUCAAGAUAAAAAGGAAACUCCGCCCAGUUCCGACGAGUAUUUCUGAAUACCGUUUUAAUGCUAAUCGGCCAUGCUGCAGAGAACUAUUAACUCUCGCUUUCGUUUUUACAAAGACACUGAAAGAUAAGGUAGACUGAGUAGUAUACAUUUGGGACAUGUGUACAGCUGAUAUCGGCAAAAGUUUUUCUUUUCCAAGGCCCUGCUGACCAAAAAAAAGAGAAGCACAUCUUCACUAAUUCAGUGCGGAACAGCUGGAGGUUGGAAGACCCACUGAAGGGGAAUAAAUAUGG
Cyprinus carpio (common carp) is the source of this 1202-nucleotide long non-coding RNA. RefSeq lists it as uncharacterized. The record is from RefSeq and is a predicted model, not a curated record. Lineage: Eukaryota; Metazoa; Chordata; Actinopteri; Cypriniformes; Cyprinidae. The transcript has 3 exons.